GUAAUACUAUAAUGAUAACAUUGCAGUUGUGUUCUUUUCUGAGAGCAAUAAACUGACUAGUUGCACCAAACUCAUGCAAAUCAAGUUUCUGACAGUCAAGGAUUUGGUGAGACAAGGAAAUAUCAUAUCUUUGACUGUCAAAAGAUAAUCUUUUAAGACCAACAAAACUAGCCAUAAACGCAGGUGUGUGUAUAUUCUUUUAAGAACUACAAAACUAAGCAAAACUAACAAAACUUUGAUGGUCUAAGCUAAUUUGACCCGCCUAACUAACUAAUUUUCAAUCAGUCUUCGUCAGUCGAAAGACAAUACUCCUGGUGAACAUUAUGGCUAAAGGCUUUACUGGCUAUCAUAAACAAAUAGGAUACGAUAUAUCACACACCACAGAGGAAGAAAAACCUGGACCUCCAGAGAGUGGCUAACAUGCCCAGCAUGCAAUGACAAUAGUACAGGAGAGAAUUGUCAAGCUCUCACCCACGAUUUUCUGAAAUUUCCACCAUCACCCGCAGCUAAACAUGAAUCAAAUGAUGGAUAAUUAACCUCAUAUUCAACCAACAUGAGAGAUAAUUAGAUAUGUUGCUAGCAGCAUCUGGAAAGGAUGCAUUGCCUCCUGCAAAAAGGAAGGGAAGGCAAGACUCUUAUCCUUGUCUUAUCAAAAAAUGGUGGACGGUUAAUCAAACCAUGGAGGUUCAUGUGCACAAUGCUUUGCAAGAACUUGUGUCCAUUGAAUAGAGUUAUCAAUGGCAAGCAUAGGUACAGUGAAACAGUGAGCAAAUCUGGCAUCCUACAAGAGUACCUCAGUGUCCACAACACCAACAAACAUUAAAUUAAGAAGACUUUUCAUCAACCAUUCACAGGGGCGGAUCCAUGUGGAGGGUUAUGGGGCACGUGAACCCAUGCAUUCUUCCCUAGAUUGUGUAUCACACUGGUACUUUUCUGAUAAAGUACUUAGAAGUUCAUGUGGGAACCCAUACAAGAGAGCAUUUGGUGCAGUGGUGGCAUUGUGCACCUUUGGCCUUAGGUCUUAAGUUCGAAUCCCACUUCCCUAUCUUUCACCUUAGAGCCAAUUUUCUAUCUCGUUUUCUUUCUUUUCUGUGUCAGUUGAAAUCCCAUGCCCUAUCUUUCUUUUCUGUUUUUUUCCCUUUGUUCUUCUCUUUUUCUGGUUCACUCUUUGACCUAUCUUUUAAUUAAAUUCCUGCCUUCCUAUUAUUAUUUUUGGAUUCUCUUUCUUUUUUCUUCUUUUGUGUUUUCUUCAUUUCUCUUUUGGUUCAAUCGUUGAGUUUCAAAAACUCUAAAAUAUAAGAUUUUAAGUUAGUUUGAAUCUUUUCAAUUUAAAGUUACCUCUCUUUAUUUACCAUUCUUGUUUCGAAUAUUUAUUCAGUUUUACUAAUAGAGCUAAGUCCUCUCUACCUUCACAAAGGCAGGGGUGAGGUCUCCGUACACACUGCCUUCCCAAGACCCCAUGAUGUGGGAUAAUACUGGGUGUGUUGUUGUUGUACUAAUAGAGCUAAGUAUUUGUAACUAUAAAUAAUGAUGCUAUCAUUGUUAAUUCUCCAAGGUAGGAAAAUUAUUCAGGCAUUCAUCAACGAAAUGAUACAUUUUUGUAAUAAUAAUAUUAAUUGUUGUUUACUUGUCAAGUUGUUGUCAUGGCUAAAUUUUAGAGAACACCCAUCCUCCCCAAAUUCUGAAUACGCCUCUAAUCAUUCAUCAUUUCCCUUGCUAAUAGAAAUAUAGAAUUGUCUGAAUUGAGUUCCUUCUCCAUUCAACCCUUUUCAGAUAUGUAAUUGUAUGACAAAUAUCAAAGAUCUAUCCUAAUCAACAAUUAAAUCCAGCAGGAAGGAAUCACAAUUCAAGUCUUGCUUAGGAGACACCUAAAAUAACUGUGCAUGAGUCAUAAUAAAAUAUGGAUACAAAGAUACAAUUUUCAAGACAACUACCAGGGUACCCAAAUGUGACUAUAACAAAUAACAUUAUUAUGGAAAUAUAAGGCAAUUAAAGCAGCAAUCCAUCCCGAUAAAUAUCUGUAACCCCAUCCACCUUAAACUGCAGAGUAAACACUCAAAGAGCUCUGUCUAUGUAUGUACAUGUAUACCAAAAACAUAACAUAAGAAGGUCCAAAAUGCUGGCACAUAUCCAAACAAAUAAAAAGCUUAAUCGUUACAACCAUAUCUCAACACACAAAGAAAAUACUAAUAACUUUUGUUAAAAUAACAUCAAAUUCUACAGACUAGGCCCAAAUCGGAAGCAAAUGAUACUCUACUAAAUAACUACUAAUAAGAAGAAAUAUUUACCAGUGGUACAUUGAAGAAUACUCUAAUAGAGUUGGAGAUUUUGGAUGAAAACGCCCCAAUAAGCCUUUGAUAACUAGAUCUUCCAUUAUCCUGUCACAGAUGACUCGCACUUAUCACACUAAAAACCUUCCAAAAUAUUUGAUUCGAAGGGUCGUUGUAGAGAAGGGCGAAAGUCAUCUGCGACAGGAGCACCGGAAGAUCUGAACAUCAAAGGCGUCGGAACGAUUCGAUUUUUGGAGACUGAGAAAUUAAAGAGAUUUUU
RNAcentral lists this long non-coding RNA (2550 nucleotides) under Nicotiana tabacum (common tobacco). RNAcentral describes it as "long non-coding RNA (NTAB_LNC004253)". The record is from RNAcentral. Lineage: Eukaryota; Viridiplantae; Streptophyta; Magnoliopsida; Solanales; Solanaceae.